Molecule: ribosomal RNA, 321 nt
Filed under: uncultured bacterium
Lineage: Bacteria
Description: bacterial SSU rRNA
Rfam family: Bacterial small subunit ribosomal RNA
Source: RNAcentral
GACGAACGCUGGCGGCGUGCUUAACACAUGCAAGUCGAGCGGUAAGGCCCUUUCGGGGGUACACGAGCGGCGAACGGGUGAGUAACACGUGGGUGACCUGCCCUCAGCUCUGGGAUAAGCCUGGGAAACCGGGUCUAAUACUGGAUAUGACUCCAUGACGCAUGUUGGUGGGGUGGAAAGCCUUGUGCGGCUGAGGAUGGGCCCGCGGCCUAUCAGCUUGUUGGUGGGGUGANGGCCUACCAAGGCGACGACGGGUAGCCGGCCUGAGAGGGCGACCGGCCACACUGGGACUGAGACACGGCCCAGACCCCUACGGGAGGC